UAAGACGUAGGUGGCGAACGUUAUCCGGAAUUAUUGGGCGUAAAGGGUGCGUAGACGGCAUGAUAAGUUAGCGGUGGGAAAUCGAGGCUCAACCUCGUGGAAGCCGGUAAUACUGUCGUGCUUGAGUAUAGGAGAGGUUAACGGAACUCCCUGUGGAGCGGUAAAAUGUGUCGAUAUAGGGAAGAACACCAAUAACGGCGAAGGCAGUUAACUAUUCUAUUACUGACGUUGAGAGCACGAAAGCGUGGGGAGCAAAACGGAUUAGAUACCCGUGUAGUCCACGCCCUAAACGAUGAGUGCUAGAUAUUGGACCAUUAGGUUCAGUGUCGCUAGGUAACCCGAUAAGCACUCCGCCUGGGUAGUACGCUCGCAAGAGUG
This 378-nucleotide ribosomal RNA is filed under the name uncultured bacterium. RNAcentral describes it as "bacterial SSU rRNA". It matches the Rfam family "Bacterial small subunit ribosomal RNA", at positions 521 to 896 of the family's 1533-position model. The record is from RNAcentral.